This 502-nucleotide ribosomal RNA is filed under the name uncultured Glomeromycotina. RNAcentral's name for it is "partial small subunit ribosomal RNA". It matches the Rfam family "Eukaryotic small subunit ribosomal RNA", at positions 591 to 1092 of the family's 1831-position model. Lineage: Eukaryota; Fungi; Glomeromycota. The record is from RNAcentral.
CCAAUAGCGUAUAUUAAAGUUGUUGCAGUUAAAAAGCUCGUAGUUGAAUUUCGGGGUUUAUACGUUGGUCGGGCUUUUGGGUCUGUACUGGCGUAAUGAAUUCCUACCUUCUGAAUAACCAGCAUGUCAUUAAUUUGGUGCGCCGGGGAAGCAGGACUGUUACCUUGAAAAAAUUAGAGUGCUUAAAGCAGGCUAUUGCCUGAAUACAUUAGCAUGGAAUAAUGAAAUAGGACGGCAUGGUUCUAUUUUGUUGGUUUCUAGGAUCACCGUAAUGAUUAAUAGGGAUAGUUGGGGGCAUUAGUAUUCAAUUGUCAGAGGUGAAAUUCUUGGAUUUAUUGAAGACUAACUUCUGCGAAAGCAUUUGCCAAGGAUGUUUUCAUUAAUCAAGAACGAAAGUUAGGGGAUCGAAGACGAUCAGAUACCGUCGUAGUCUUAACCAUAAACUAUGCCGACUAGGGAUCGGACGAUGUUAAUUUUUUAAUGACUCGUUCGGCGCCUUACG